Nicotiana tabacum (common tobacco) is the source of this 2199-nucleotide non-coding RNA. NCBI's taxonomy places the organism in Eukaryota, Viridiplantae, Streptophyta, Magnoliopsida, Solanales, Solanaceae. The record is from RefSeq and is a predicted model, not a curated record.
ACGACUACUCUGCCCUAGUUUCUAAUAAACGACAACGCAGGUCUGCCUCCCUAUCUCCAUCUCUCAAAAUCUGUAUUUUGUCAAAGCAAAGGUUGCAAAUUUGUUUGUUCGUGAAUCGCAUGUCUACCCUAAUUUUCGACCUCGCUCAUUCGUGAAUCUCAGAUUAUGGCACCUAGUAAGCAAUGGAUGCAACUUGUUGAUAAUCGGCUUGAUGAAGCCUACUUAAUCGGAGUGCAAAAGUUUUUGAAUUAUGCUUUUCAGAAGGAGAAGAAUAUGAAAUAAGAUGUCCAUAUGUCAAAUGUUGCAAUACAACUUUAGGUAAAAAAAGUUCGAGGUAGGAACAAGUGCAAAGAAGUUGCAUCACUUGAAGUAGGACAAAAGCUGAAAGUAACCUUUUACAACAAUCGAACGGUUGGAACAAAUAGCAAACUAUUUUCAAGGAACUUGAGCAGAAUAGUUCGUGACCGCAAUAUCUGUCCGUUGGGAGUAUCAUCGUGGAAUGAUAUUAAGCAAGAAAAGUUGAAUCACAUGUGGGCAGCUAUUGAGGUAACAAAUGUAGGUAACAGUAUGCAUGUGCAUUUUGAGUCGCACGUAUAAUGGUGUUAUUUGCGAUGUUGCGAGGAAGACCGUAGGUGUAGUUAUAGAUUUUUUUAUUGUGAUUUCAGUUUCUAUGAAUGGAGUACUUUUCUUUUCUUUUCUGAAAUGCAUCCAGAGUUGAAAUAAAGUUAGAAAAUAAACAAUUAUGCAUGGAAGGGCAUAGCAAGUUGUCUUUAUGAACUUACAAUUGUUUUUCACUUUAACUAGUUAAAUUUUCCACCACAGCUGCACGAGUUAGCUAAGCAUCUUAAGACAAAUUAUCAUAUAUUUGCAAGUUACCAUCACAUUCAUAUCACUGUAAUUCUAAUGGUGUUGAAUGUUGAUGAUCUUUGCCUUAUUUGUGACUAUAAUUUCUUUUUAUUCCUUUAUCUGGACCAAUGCCUUUAUCUUUAGUGAAUUCAUUUGUUGUGUUGUCUGAUCCAAAAUGGUCGAUCUUCUUUUUCUUUUUCUUGUCAAAACUAUAGGUUUGGUUAAAAUAAUUGAGUAUUAAAAGUAUAUCUUUGUUUUCAGUUUUCAAGCUCUUUUAAGGCCUUGGUCUUUGGCAUUCUUUGUAUUAACAGAUUUAGCUUACUUUUAGAGCAAAUUCAGCCAUUAAAGGGACCACAACAUGAGAAAUAUAUUCCUACUUUGAUAUGCUUAUCAAAUGGUAAGUUCUUAAGGAAGAAACUGGGAUGCAGGGGGCAAAAAAGUAAACAAUUUUGAUCUCCUUUUUGGUUUAAACUACCUAGGUAUCUGCUUCCAUCUAUAAAUACCAAAAUAAAGGAAUGAAGUCCAACUUUGAACAUGGAUAGAGUUACUGGCAGACGUUAUUUGUAUCUCUUAUCCAGCCAAUGUUGUUUAUUUUUCUACACAAUACAUGAAACUUCAUUCAAAACUUAAACUGCUGCAUAUUUCUGUUUUUUAAAAACUCUUUACAAAAGUUAUUGCAGGGCUCAACAUUGUCAUUAUAGUUGCUUGCAUAUUAGUUGAACAAUGCAUUAUUUUUCCACACCAGAAAAGUUCUAUGAUAUCGUGAUCAUAUUUGAACAACAACAACAACAACAACCCAGUAUAAUCCCACUGAUGAUAUUGCUGGAUAACACCUGAUGAAUUUAGACUGCUUGUGGGGUUUCUGAACUCGUCAUUGUUGACCUUUAGCGGCGGACGCUAUUGUGAUGGGUUGCGACCAACUUUUUCUCGUCGCAAUUGGUGUAUUAGGACCAAAUUUGGAUCUUUAGGGACGAGAUUUUCCUUCCUUAAAGGUCGUUUUUCUUGUAGUGAAAUUAGGGUUGGGAAAGUGAUGGAGAAGAACCAUCGGGACUAAUCAGGUGUAUGCUUGUGUAAGAAAAACUCAACGGCGUCGCACGCGGCGAGGAUCUGAAGUAGAGACGAGGCAGUGAGUACGGUGGCGGCAACAUGCAAAAUGCAAUGUGCGUGAGUGAGGGUUUAGGGGGGUUUUAAUGGGGAAUUCUGACAUAGGGUAAAUUGGGGCUGACAAUGAAGGUUCGAAAUCUGCUAUCAACGAGACGACAUUUAGGAUUAUUCUUGAACAAAGACGACGGAAUUUGGGGCUGAGCAACUUGAAGAGUUUGUUACCUUUUUUUCAUUGUAUUUCAAUGUAUC